UCUUAUCGCCAUACCACCCCGAAUACUCUUUAUCUCGUCCAAUCUUGGAAGCCUAGGAGGGUUUGGACUGGUUAGUGUUUGGAUGGGAGACUUCCUGAUAGGGUCAGCUGAGGUUCGGU
This 119-nucleotide ribosomal RNA is filed under the name Amphilophus citrinellus (Midas cichlid). Lineage: Eukaryota; Metazoa; Chordata; Actinopteri; Cichliformes; Cichlidae. The record is from RNAcentral.